UAAACCCAAAGGCGAAAUGAAAGUAAAGAGUGGAACAUUGUAAUUUAGAUUUUAUCUUUAUUCACAAUUUCCCUCAAGGGAAGAUGGAAAACUAAUCUUUGAUUCCCCGCAUAGCAAUAUGUGUAAUCAUUGAUAUAGUUUUCUCGCAUUCCCGGGGCGCUUGUUUCUCGCUUUGCGAGUCUAUGCGCACCUAGAGCGUACACGCUGAUACCCGAAAGAUGGUGAACUAUGCCUGGCCAGGACGAAGCCAGGGGAAACCCUGGUGGAGGUCCGCAGCGAUUCUGACGUGCAAAUCGAUCGUCGGAGCUGGGUAUAGGGGCGAAAGACCAAUCGAACCAUCUAGUAGCUGGUUCCCUCUGAAGUUUCCCUCAGGAUAGCUUGCGCUCAAUGCUAAGAGUCUCAUCCGGUAGAGCGAAUGAUUAGAGGCAUUGGGGUCGAAACGACCUCAACCUAUUCUCAAACUCCAAAUAGAUGAGACCCCCGGCUUUCUUGAAAAAUGAAGCCGUGGGAUUAGGAUCAGAGUGCCAAGUGGGCCAAUUU
Molecule: ribosomal RNA, 540 nt
Filed under: Tagalis dichroa
Lineage: Eukaryota; Metazoa; Arthropoda; Insecta; Hemiptera; Reduviidae
Description: partial large subunit ribosomal RNA
Rfam family: Eukaryotic large subunit ribosomal RNA
Source: RNAcentral